This 406-nucleotide ribosomal RNA is filed under the name uncultured bacterium. RNAcentral's name for it is "partial 16S ribosomal RNA". It matches the Rfam family "Bacterial small subunit ribosomal RNA", at positions 30 to 526 of the family's 1533-position model. The record is from RNAcentral.
AUUGAACGCUGGCGGCAGGCCUAACACAUGCAAGUCGAACGAGUGGCGGACGGGUGAGUAAUGUCUGGGAAACUGCCCGAUGGAGGGGGAUCACUACUGGAAAAGGUGGCUAAUACCGCAUACCAUCGGAUGUGCCCAGAUGGGCGUAGCUAGGGGGUGGGGUAAAGGCUCACCUAGGCGACGAUCCCUAGCUGGUCUGAGAGGAUGACCAGCCACACUGGAACUGAGACACGGUCCAGACUCCUACGGGAGGCAGCAGUGGGGAAUAUUGCACAAUGGGCGCAAGCCUGAUGCAGCCAUGCCGCGUGUAUGAAGAAGGCCUUCGGGUUGUAAAGUACUUUCAGCGGGGAGGCGUUACCCGCAGAAGAAGCACCGGCUAACUCCGUGCCAGCAGCCGCGGUAAUUC